CAACCAGUCACGUCCUGCGACUCAGCAGAACAGAUCGAGACUCGGAGAAGGGGACCUUCAGCUCUGCCUGCCCUGUCCUCGAGAUUGUUCCUUGAAAGACACCUGUGUGACCUGAGAGGUUGCCGUUGCUGUUGAGCAGUCAUGGAUAAAGGACAAUCAGAGGCACACGCCAACGUGACCCCUGUGAAAGCGUCCGAGAUGGAGCCCAAAAAACCAGUAAAACACCACCAGUCCUCCAACAACAUACUCAUUUACUUAUUCAACAGACAGCUGGGGAUACCCAGAAAUGAUGUGGAUCUCUCCCAGUGGAAGUGGAUGCUGAUGUGAGCAACCCAUUGGUGGAGUCGGCUGUGGAGAUAACAUGUCUUCUGUCUCCCUGGAAUGGCAAAAAAUUUAAAGAAAAUAUUUGAGCAAUAAAAGUCCCCCGUGUUGCAUGUGA
Molecule: non-coding RNA, 439 nt
Organism: Oryctolagus cuniculus (rabbit)
Lineage: Eukaryota; Metazoa; Chordata; Mammalia; Lagomorpha; Leporidae
Source: RefSeq, a predicted model, not a curated record